Molecule: long non-coding RNA, 1014 nt
Filed under: Heterocephalus glaber (naked mole-rat)
Lineage: Eukaryota; Metazoa; Chordata; Mammalia; Rodentia; Bathyergidae
Description: lncRNA (ENSHGLG00000043440.1)
Source: RNAcentral
GGCUGCAUGGUCUUUGGCUAGGCCGUGGCUCAGAAGAUCUCACAGAUAAAACUCCUUGCCAGGUCUGGGAAGCUACUUUCCUUGGACGGCAGUAGAGUGGCCACAGGGCUGAGUCAGAUAACACUGGCAUCUUCUGGGAGCUGGAGUCAUCAUGGAGAUCAAGCCAAAUGAUGUCAGACCACUUCAUAAAUGGGAAUUGACUUGGCAGAUGGUGUUGGACAAUUCCUGUUAAACAUCCCAAGUAGUCUCCAGGGCCACGUCUGGAAUUUAGAUAUAACAGAUUUCCUGGGACACAGAGCUGAGUCAUAUUUAUAGUUACUAAUGAUCUAUGUGUCAGGACGACACUGAAAAUAUUAAUCACUGCACAGCAGCCACCUCUAGAUGUGGCUUUUGGAAAACUUAAUUUGUUGUCACCCUGGAGGUGGCCCCUUCUUGGUAGCACCUGGUCCCUUUCUGCUCACUUUUUGCUGGGAGCCAGAAUCCACUAAGGAAAUGCCCCAUGUUCAAAGCCAAGUUUGGUUUAUUACCAUUGCAGCAUUGCACAGAUGCCUAACUUCUGAGCUAGUUUCAACUUAGGAAUUGGUCGGAUAUACUUCCUAGGGAAUCCAUGAAAUAAUAAAUUCUGAUAUGAAGGAGGUACAUGAUGAAUUGAUGAGUUGUUUUCUUGGGCCUAGUAGAGUGGUAGGCAGUAUGUCUGUUUUAUAAUCCAGGAACCUGAGGUCCCCUUGGUCCUGAAUUGAGCUCCGUUUAGGAAGGCAUGUGUGUGCACAUUCACUUGGUCCACUGCUGGAGGUGGGUCUGAGGCAAAGCAGUGUUUCAUGUGUGCGCAACUGAUCCAGGGAGAAGUCUGUGUCCUCUGGUGGGCUUGGACAGUGAGUGGGUAGCAGGGCCUCUUGAUCUGCCCAAGGCUGCUGAGAACAGGCUGUGCCCUUGGCCCUCUCUGUUGAACCCCUUUGAUCAGAGUGGAAAAUUUCUGAUUGUUAAAUGGAAGCUGUGGGUGUUGAAAAAUAAAAA